Molecule: transfer RNA, 74 nt
Filed under: Halorubellus litoreus
Lineage: Archaea; Methanobacteriati; Methanobacteriota; Halobacteria; Halobacteriales; Halorubellaceae
Also listed under: 1 other name
Description: tRNA-Val
Rfam family: tRNA
About the family: Transfer RNA (tRNA) molecules are approximately 80 nucleotides in length.
Source: RNAcentral
GGGCACGUGGUCUAGUUGGUCAUGACGCUUCCCUUACAAGGAAGAGGCCGACGGUUCGACUCCGUCCGUGCCCA